RNAcentral lists this ribosomal RNA (466 nucleotides) under uncultured bacterium. RNAcentral describes it as "bacterial SSU rRNA". It matches the Rfam family "Bacterial small subunit ribosomal RNA", at positions 329 to 793 of the family's 1533-position model. The record is from RNAcentral.
GUCCAGACUCCUACGGGAGGCAGCAGUGAGGAAUAUUGGUCAAUGGGCGAGAGCCUGAACCAGCCAAGUCGCGUGAGGGAGUACUGCCCUAUGGGUUGUAAACCUCUUUUGUCGGGGAGCAAAAGCCGGACGUGUCCGGCUGUGAGAGUACCCGAAGAAAAAGCAUCGGCUAACUCCGUGCCAGCAGCCGCGGUAAUACGGAGGAUCCGAGCGUUAUCCGGAUUCAUUGGGUUUAAAGGGUGCGUAGGUUGUUUUAUAAGUUAGCGGUGAAAUACCGAUGCUCAACAUCGGGGCUGCCGCUAAUACUGUAGGGCUAGAGAUCGGAUGCAGCAGGCGGAAUGUGUAGUGUAGCGGUGAAAUGCAUAGAUAUUACACAGAACACCGAUUGCGAAGGCAGCUUGCUAGGCCGGAUCUGACACUGAUGCACGAAAGCGUGGGGAUCGAACAGGAUUAGAUACCCUGUAAG